Molecule: transfer RNA, 71 nt
Filed under: Actinomycetes bacterium
Lineage: Bacteria; Bacillati; Actinomycetota; Actinomycetes
Description: Actinobacteria bacterium tRNA-Gly
Rfam family: tRNA (bases 9-65)
About the family: Transfer RNA (tRNA) molecules are approximately 80 nucleotides in length.
Source: RNAcentral
AGACUGGCGCCCAGUUGGCUAGAGCGUCUGCUUGCCAUGCAGAAGGUCGUGGGUUCGAGUCCCAUCAUCCG